UUUAUGGAGAGUUUGAUCCUGGCUCAGGACGAACGCUGGCGGCGUGCUUAACACAUGCAAGUCGAACGGAAAGGCUCCUUGCUUGCAAGGGGUACUCGAGUGGCGAACGGGUGAGUAACACGUGGGUGAUCUGCCUUGCACUUCGGGAUAAGCCUGGGAAACUGGGUCUAAUACCGGAUAGGACCAUGCUUUAGUGUGUGUGGUGGAAAGUUUUUUCGGUGCAAGAUGAGCCCGCGGCCUAUCAGCUUGUUGGUGGGGUAAUGGCCUACCAAGGCGACGACGGGUAGCCGGCCUGAGAGGGUGUACGGCCACAUUGGGACUGAGACACGGCCCAGACUCCUACGGGAGGCAGCAGUGGGGAAUAUUGCACAAUGGGCGCAAGCCUGAUGCAGCGACGCCGCGUGGGGGAUGACGGCCUUCGGGUUGUAAACUCCUUUCGCUAGGGAAGAAGCCACUUUGUGGUGACGGUACCUGGAUAAGAAGCACCGGCUAACUACGUGCCAGCAGCCGCGGUAAUACGUAGGGUGCGAGCGUUGUCCGGAAUUACUGGGCGUAAAGAGCUCGUAGGUGGUUUGUCGCGUCGUCUGUGAAAUCCCGGGGCUUAACUUCGGGCGUGCAGGCGAUACGGGCAUAACUAGAGUGCUGUAGGGGAGACUGGAAUUCCUGGUGUAGCGGUGAAAUGCGCAGAUAUCAGGAGGAACACCGAUGGCGAAGGCAGGUCUCUGGGCAGUUACUGACGCUGAGGAGCGAAAGCAUGGGUAGCGAACAGGAUUAGAUACCCUGGUAGUCCAUGCCGUAAACGGUGGGCGCUAGGUGUGGGGGUUUUAUUUACGAUUCC
This 838-nucleotide ribosomal RNA is filed under the name Corynebacterium evansiae. RNAcentral's name for it is "bacterial SSU rRNA". It matches the Rfam family "Bacterial small subunit ribosomal RNA", at positions 1 to 841 of the family's 1533-position model. Lineage: Bacteria; Bacillati; Actinomycetota; Actinomycetes; Mycobacteriales; Corynebacteriaceae. The record is from RNAcentral.